UUAAGUGACUAAGCGUACACGGUGGAUGCCUUGGCAGUCAGAGGCGAUGAAGGACGUAUUAACUUGCGAUAAGCCCAGAUUAGGUAGUAAAAACCAUUUGAGUCUGGGAUUUCCGAAUGGGGAAACCCACUUACAUAAGUAAGUAUCGCUGCGUGAAUACAUAGCGCAGCGAGGCGAACCGGGGGAACUGAAACAUCUAAGUACCCCGAGGAAAAGAAAUCAACCGAGAUUCCGAAAGUAGCGGCGAGCGAAAUUGGACUAGCCCUUAAGCUUUUUAUGCGUCAGGUGAAACUUCUGGAAAGUUGUGCGAUACAGGGUGAUAGCCCCGUAACCGGCAACGCAUAUAAAGUGAAAUCGAGUAGGGCGGGACACGUGAUAUCCUGUCUGAAUAUGGGGGGACCAUCCUCCAAGGCUAAAUACUACUGACUGACCGAUAGUGAACCAGUACCGUGAGGGAAAGGCGAAAAGAACCCCUGUGAGGGGAGUGAAAUAGAACCUGAAACCGUGUACGUACAAGCAGUAGGAGCACCUUCGUGGUGUGACUGCGUACCUUUUGUAUAAUGGGUCAGCGACUUAUAUUCAGUGGCAAGGUUAACCAUCUAGGGGAGCCGUAGCGAAAGCGAGUGUUAACUGCGCGACUCAGUCGCUGGAUAUAGACCCGAAACCAGGUGAUCUAGCCAUGGGCAGGUUGAAGAUUGAGUAACAUCAAUUGGAGGACCGAACCGACUAAUGUUGAAAAAUUAGCGGAUGACUUGUGGCUAGGGGUGAAAGGCCAAUCAAACCUGGAGAUAGCUGGUUCUCCCCGAAAGCUAUUUAGGUAGCGCCUCGGACGAAUACUACUGGGGGUAGAGCACUGUUAAGGCUAGGGGGUCAUCCCGACUUACCAACCCUUUGCAAACUCCGAAUACCAGUAAGUACUAUCCGGGAGACACACGGCGGGUGCUAACGUCCGUCGUGGAGAGGGAAACAACCCAGACCGCCAGCUAAGGUCCCAAAUUACUACUAAGUGGGAAACGAUGUGGGAAGGCUCAGACAGCCAGGAUGUUGGCUUAGAAGCAGCCAUCAUUUAAAGAAAGCGUAAUAGCUCACUGGUCGAGUCGGCCUGCGCGGAAGAUGUAACGGGGCUAAGUAGUAAACCGAAGCUGCGGCAAUGCACUUUGUGCAUUGGGUAGGGGAGCGUUCUGUAAGCGGUUGAAGGUGUGUGGUAACGCAUGCUGGACGUAUCAGAAGUGCGAAUGCUGACAUGAGUAACGAUAAAGGGGGUGAAAAACCUCCUCGCCGGAAGACCAAGGGUUCCUGUCCAACGUUAAUCGGGGCAGGGUAAGUCGACCCCUAAGGCGAGGCCGAAAGGCGUAGUCGAUGGGAAACGGGUUAAUAUUCCCGUACUUCUUACAAUUGCGAUGGGGGGACGGAGAAGGCUAGGUGGGCCUGGCGACGGUUGUCCAGGUUCAAGUGCGUAGGCUGAGAGAUUAGGUAAAUCCGGUUUCUCUUAAGGCUGAGACACGACGUCGAGCUACUACGGUAGUGAAGUCAUUGAUGCCAUGCUUCCAGGAAAAGCCUCUAAGCUUCAGAUUGUAAGGAAUCGUACCCCAAACCGACACAGGUGGUCGGGUAGAGAAUACCAAGGCGCUUGAGAGAACUCGGGUGAAGGAACUAGGCAAAAUGGUACCGUAACUUCGGGAGAAGGUACGCUCUUGAUGGUGAAGUCCCUUGCGGAUGGAGCUGACGAGAGUCGCAGAUACCAGGUGGCUGCAACUGUUUAUUAAAAACACAGCACUGUGCAAAAUCGUAAGAUGACGUAUACGGUGUGACGCCUGCCCGGUGCCGGAAGGUUAAUUGAUGGGGUUAGACUUCGGUCGAAGCUCUUGAUCGAAGCCCCGGUAAACGGCGGCCGUAACUAUAACGGUCCUAAGGUAGCGAAAUUCCUUGUCGGGUAAGUUCCGACCUGCACGAAUGGCGUAAUGAUGGCCACGCUGUCUCCACCCGAGACUCAGUGAAAUUGAAAUCGCUGUGAAGAUGCAGUGUACCCGCGGCUAGACGGAAAGACCCCGUGAACCUUUACUACAGCUUGGCACUGAACAUUGACCCUACAUGUGUAGGAUAGG
RNAcentral lists this ribosomal RNA (2105 nucleotides) under Vibrio owensii. RNAcentral describes it as "bacterial LSU rRNA". It matches the Rfam family "Bacterial large subunit ribosomal RNA", at positions 1 to 2147 of the family's 2925-position model. The record is from RNAcentral. Lineage: Bacteria; Pseudomonadati; Pseudomonadota; Gammaproteobacteria; Vibrionales; Vibrionaceae.